This 354-nucleotide long non-coding RNA is filed under the name Brassica napus (rape). Its description in RNAcentral is "long non-coding RNA (BNAP_LNC001047)". The record is from RNAcentral. Lineage: Eukaryota; Viridiplantae; Streptophyta; Magnoliopsida; Brassicales; Brassicaceae.
GAAAAACGAAGAAGAAGAAAGAGUAGUAAUGGAAGAAGACGAUCAUCAAAAAGCAUCAGAUCUAGUCCACGAGCUCGUCCUCCGCCUCCUCUCCCAAAACCCCCAAACCCCCAACCCCGAUCCCACCUCCCCUACCUUCCUCAAAACCCUCCGCUUCGCCCACCGCAUAGCCGCCUCCCCCAAACCCCCCAACCCCCCAACCCCUACCCCACCUCCCCUACCUUCCUCAAAACCCUCCGCUUCGCCCACCGCAUCCUCCGCAGCCGCCUCACCCCCUCCGUCUCCCCCGACGCCUCCGCCAUCGCCGAGUCCCUCAAACGCCGCCUCGCCACCCAGGGCAAAUCCUCCGACGCC